Molecule: long non-coding RNA, 404 nt
Organism: Oncorhynchus keta (chum salmon)
Lineage: Eukaryota; Metazoa; Chordata; Actinopteri; Salmoniformes; Salmonidae
Exons: 4
Source: RefSeq, a predicted model, not a curated record
UGGAGCUAGAAACACAAACAUUUAGCUAGGUAUUACUGUUGGAGCUAGAAACACAAGCAUUUAGCUAGGUAUUGCUGUUGGAGCUAGAAACACAAGCAUUUAGCUAGGUAUUACUGUUGGAGCUAGAAACACAAGCAUUUAGCUAGGUAUUACUGUUGGAGCUAGAAACACAAGCAUUUAGCUAGGUAUUGCUGUUGGAGCUAGAAACACAAGCAUUUAGCUAGGUAUUACUGUUGGAGCUAGAAACACAAGCAUUUAGCUAGGUAUUACUGUUGGAGCUAGAAACACAAGCAUUUAGCUAGGUAUUACUGUUGGAGCUAGAAACACAAGCAUUUAACUAGGUAUUACUGUUGGAGCUAGAAACACAAGCAUUUAGCUAGGUAUUACUGUUGGAGCUGGAAACA